This 1013-nucleotide ribosomal RNA is filed under the name Lactiplantibacillus plantarum. RNAcentral describes it as "bacterial SSU rRNA". It matches the Rfam family "Bacterial small subunit ribosomal RNA", at positions 71 to 1047 of the family's 1533-position model. The record is from RNAcentral. Lineage: Bacteria; Bacillati; Bacillota; Bacilli; Lactobacillales; Lactobacillaceae.
GUGAUUGCGCUGCUUUGGGUGCUGAUUGACGGCUGGAUCACCUCCAAAUUUGAUGAGUGGCGAACUGGUGAGUAACACGUGGGAAACCUGCCCAGAAGCGGGGGAUAACACCUGGAAACAGAUGCUAAUACCGCAUAACAACUUGGACCGCAUGGUCCGAGUUUGAAAGAUGGCUUCGGCUAUCACUUUUGGAUGGUCCCGCGGCGUAUUAGCUAGAUGGUGAGGUAACGGCUCACCAUGGCAAUGAUACGUAGCCGACCUGAGAGGGUAAUCGGCCACAUUGGGACUGAGACACGGCCCAAACUCCUACGGGAGGCAGCAGUAGGGAAUCUUCCACAAUGGACGAAAGUCUGAUGGAGCAACGCCGCGUGAGUGAAGAAGGGUUUCGGCUCGUAAAACUCUGUUGUUAAAGAAGAACAUAUCUGAGAGUAACUGUUCAGGUAUUGACGGUAUUUAACCAGAAAGCCACGGCUAACUACGUGCCAGCAGCCGCGGUAAUACGUAGGUGGCAAGCGUUGUCCGGAUUUAUUGGGCGUAAAGCGAGCGCAGGCGGUUUUUUAAGUCUGAUGUGAAAGCCUUCGGCUCAACCGAAGAAGUGCAUCGGAAACUGGGAAACUUGAGUGCAGAAGAGGACAGUGGAACUCCAUGUGUAGCGGUGAAAUGCGUAGAUAUAUGGAAGAACACCAGUGGCGAAGGCGGCUGUCUGGUCUGUAACUGACGCUGAGGCUCGAAAGUAUGGGUAGCAAACAGGAUUAGAUACCCUGGUAGUCCAUACCGUAAACGAUGAAUGCUAAGUGUUGGAGGGUUUCCGCCCUUCAGUGCUGCAGCUAACGCAUUAAGCAUUCCGCCUGGGGAGUACGGCCGCAAGGCUGAACUCAAGGAAUUGACGGGGCCCGCACAAGCGGUGGAGCAUGGUGGUUUAAUUCGAAGCUACGCGAGACUUACCAGUCUUGACAUACUAUGCAAAUCUAGAGAUAGACGUUCCCUUCGGGGACAUGGAUACAGUGUGCAUG